RNA transcript from Dermacentor silvarum, 1586 nucleotides. RefSeq lists it as uncharacterized. Lineage: Eukaryota; Metazoa; Arthropoda; Arachnida; Ixodida; Ixodidae. The transcript has 4 exons. The record is from RefSeq and is a predicted model, not a curated record.
UAAGAGGGCGAAACUGAAACUAUUGUGUUCUGUGCUCGCGGUUGCCCCUCAACUCGUGCGAGUCUGACUGCGCACAAACCGGAUAGAGCCAUACGGCCGCAGCUCGACCACAGCAUGAGGGAAGGCAGCUGGAGUGAAGCGAACCGCAAGAUGCACGGCACGGUAGUUCGAUGCGAGAAGGUGAAGCAGGAGCCGGUGCCUUUGGAUACAGAGAUCAGACAUCCAGUGGCACAAUUCUAUUCUUUAUUGGGCAGCUGGCAUCGCCCUCAACUCUUCCGGAGAGCCUAAAGCAAGAUGGCACUAUUCUCAAGCGUUCAGCCAGGUGUCCACCACUGUGAACACAGCCAUUGUCAACAUCAGUGUCAGCAAUGGGAAUUUUAUAUUCAGCGUGAACCCUCCUAGCUGCAAUACCCGAUUGUGCACACCGCUCCAUAGCCACAGUGCAUGUGGUAACAGCCCAGUCGACAAGUGUUGCACAAGACAUCCAUCGCCUAAACGAGAGUAUACAAGGCAUUCUUCAAGGCAGGAGUAUGCAAGAGACUUGAAGUACAUGAACUCAUCCAGCCAUGCCUAUCGUCGAUCUGAGUACAGCCUUUCCGAUUGUCGUUCGUCGCACCGGAGCCAUCGGAAGCACCGGCGGCACCAUUGAGCAGUAUUAGUGAUCAGAAGACUCGGUUGGGUAUUAUUCAGCGAAGCGGGUCUCUUUGCACUUGUGCAUCUACAAGUACAGCCAUUGCACUUACUUCCUCCACUAUAGUCAUGCACUCACACCAUUAAGCAGUGUAAUUCAGCGAUGCGGAUCUUUCAGUCAAGGAGGACACGCGACAUUCGUUCUGGGCCUUGUCAAUGGACCAUCCUUUUAAGUAAGGUUUGUUCCAAUGCAAGAAAGGUUCACCCCACCACACACGAAAAGAUGCAGGUUGUGGUGCGCCAGACUGCACCCACUUGCUGCGAGGUUCAAGGCUGCAUUGUAUCGUUGCGGUACCUUACCUUGCACCCAGCGCUAUCGACAACAGGGUGCAGUGUGCGUCACUGUAUACCUCCGAACACAGCCGUGAUGGGAGAAGUGGGGGCCUAGGUGCAGUGCACCGAGAAUAAGUGGAGAAACACGAUUCAAUCGAAUAAACCUGCAAUAUGCUGCUCAUGGAGGGUCCUACGCCCUACAGAAAUACAUGGAGCAUUACAGCAUGCACUUUACAUAAAACUGUAGCCCAAUUUCAUAUGGUGAAGUGGUACAGUUCUUAUAGUUACCAUGUUCUCAAUAUUACAAUGUGCGUCUUGAUGUGCUUCCUGGUAAUUAUGUCUCAUUGCAACAUUGAUAUGUGCAAAUCUUCAAGCCAGAAAAACUAAAAUUUCAUGUGAUCCACCUGGUGUUAACAGACUGACCCUUUGCACGUGUAGUUUAGAGAUCACAGUUGCGGUCUUUUUGGUGCAUUAUCUCGACUAAGGAUAUUAUUGGCCAAAAAAGCACAGAAAUUUUGAAAAAAAAAUCUUAUUUUUAUAUGUCACGGUCAUUAACAAGCAGUGUUGUACACGUUCCUCAAAAACAGGAACGAAAGCUCGUUCCUUCCCAAUAUUGAAACGAG